Long non-coding RNA from Strigops habroptila (Kakapo), 1707 nucleotides. NCBI's taxonomy places the organism in Eukaryota, Metazoa, Chordata, Aves, Psittaciformes, Psittacidae. The record is from Ensembl.
AGGAUCUCCUCCAAGAUUAAAGCUAGUCCUAAGAGCAACUGAAUUGCUGUGACUGACUUUCAUGGGACUGUAAAGAGAGAAAAAAGAACCCCCCUCAACUCCCCCACGAAGCCGGAGCGAUGCGCGGUCCGCCUGCCCCUGUUCCGCCGUGUCUCCGCUCGGCGCGGGGCUCCGACCGCCGCUGCCGGGUUCCCCGCGGGAUGCGGCGGUGCCACCGGCAGCCCUCUAGCGCUACCUGGCGGGGCUCCAGCACCAUCCCGCUGCCUCGCAAGGCCCCGGUCCCCGCGCAGCUCCAGGGGCGCGGAGCGGUGCGGAGCACUGUGGACCGCUUCGAGCCUCCGCCUCCCGCGCGGCUCCGAGCGCUUGGUUUGGCGUUGCCACCUCCCCGCGUUCCAUCGAGCAGGCGGGCUGCGGGCCGCGGCGGGAAGGGGAACGGGGGGACGCCUUCGCCUUGGUGCGCGUGAAGCGCUGAUGUCAGACCAGAGCGCGGCUUUUUUUAUUAUGUCUUAGGCUGGGAGGUUUGUAGAAGUGAAGCCCAUAAACAGCCAACGCGCCUGUUUCCAUCAUAAACCAGGGAGAGUAAAAUACCUGCCAGGGCUCCCCGCUAACACAGUGCAGCUGCUUCCACCGAGGCAGCUAAAAACCUAGUUUGCCUUUGUUGGAAGAAGCCCGAAGCAUUAACAAAAUCCAUCUUUCCAAUAUGACAUCCUAACAAAAAGGACAGUUAGGGCAAACUAAAUCGCUUUAGUGGGGUAUCAGAGCAUCCGCGAAGGCUCCAAACUCCUCUCAGAGCUCUGCUCUCGCGCACUUAAAAUAUUACCUUUUGUUCUCCAGCUGCCUAUAAAACUCCAGAAGAGGAGCGCUCUCCUUUUUACACUGGAGUUCUCGGUCCGGAGAGAACAAUAUCCUCCUACCUCCUCUGAAAUGAUAAGGAGAACCUCACAACACACAGGCGAGCACUCCAAGCACGAAUCUCUUUCUUUUUUUUUUUUUUCCCCAUUUUUUCCCCCCAAGAACUGCUCGGCCCAUUGUUUGAAGUGGGAUUCAGCGCGCAGCCCAAAGGGAAAAAGGAAAAAAACCGAAAGAAAUCUUAGGAGCCCGGUUUGAUAUUGCACAGAGAAAGAUCUGACAAAAUAGUAUAGCGCGUCUCCUAGAAGGACGUGAUGGGAGCCGGCGGUGUGUUCCCGAAGGAAAGAUGGGUUUGUUUUUUGGGUUUUUUUUUCCCCACCCUUAAAGAUUGUGAUCGCCUUUGUACGUCUUUCUUUUGAUCCCACAAAGAGAAUGCCAUAUACAUAUAUGUGUUUGCUCUCCGUACAAGAAAUGCAAAGGACCGCACAAUGGAAUAUGCGGCCGGUUAGUCCUCAUAAUGCUUAGUUUUGCUGUAAUUAAUUGAAAACAGUUAUUAGGUCGUCAUUGGCAAUAGCGUAAAUAAUUGCAGCAGAUUUUUACUUAAAAUUGACCGGCCACAGAGUGAUAGAUCGAUUCGAGGUAUAAAAAUGAUGUAUCAAAACAUCAAUGUCGAUUAUUUGAAAUAUUGUAGUCGAAUCUUUUUAUUGCUUUAUCGGUUAAGUGUCUGAAAGUGCUGUGUUCCAACAUAUAUUUAUGUUGUCAAUACUGUCAAAACUGUCAGUUUUAUUACAGUGGAUUUGUAAUACAUUUCGGAUUUGCUCAUUUACAUAAAAUGUCCACCCCAGAUACCCCUCCUUU